AGAGUUUGAUCCUGGCUCAGGACGAACGCUGGCGGCGCGCCUAACACAUGCAAGUCGAACGAGAGAGAGGGAGCUUGCUUCCUUGAUCGAGUGGCGAACGGGUGAGUAACGCGUGAGGAACCUGCCUCAAAGAGGGGGACAACAGUUGGAAACGACUGCUAAUACCGCAUAAGCCCACGGCUCGGCAUCGAGCAGAGGGAAAAGGAGCAAUCCGCUUUGAGAUGGCCUCGCGUCCGAUUAGCUAGUUGGUGAGGUAACGGCCCACCAAGGCAACGAUCGGUAGCCGGACUGAGAGGUUGAACGGCCACAUUGGGACUGAGACACGGCCCAGACUCCUACGGGAGGCAGCAGUGGGGAAUAUUGCACAAUGGGGGAAACCCUGAUGCAGCGACGCCGCGUGGAGGAAGAAGGUCUUCGGAUUGUAAACUCCUGUUGUUGAGGAAGAUAAUGACGGUACUCAACAAGGAAGUGACGGCUAACUACGUGCCAGCAGCCGCGGUAAAACGUAGGUCACAAGCGUUGUCCGGAAUUACUGGGUGUAAAGGGAGCGCAGGCGGGCGAUCAAGUUGGAAGUGAAAUCCAUGGGCUCAACCCAUGAACUGCUUUCAAAACUGAUUGUCUUGAGUAGUGCAGAGGUAGGCGGAAUUCCCGGUGUAGCGGUGGAAUGCGUAGAUAUCGGGAGGAACACCAGUGGCGAAGGCGGCCUACUGGGCACCAACUGACGCUGAGGCUCGAAAGUGUGGGUAGCAAACAGGAUUAGAUACCCUGGUAGUCCACACCGUAAACGAUGAUUACUAGGUGUUGGAGGAUUGACCCCUUCAGUGCCGCAGUUAACACAAUAAGUAAUCCACCUGGGGAGUACGACCGCAAGGUUGAAACUCAAAGGAAUUGACGGGGGCCCGCACAAGCAGUGGAGUAUGUGGUUUAAUUCGACGCAACGCGAAGAACCUUACCAAGUCUUGACAUCCUGCGACGAUGCUAGAAAUAGUAUUUUCCUUCGGGACGCAAAGACAGGUGGGGCAUGGUUGCCGCCAGCUCGUGCCGGGGAAAGUUGGGUUAAGUCCCGCAACGAGCGCAACCCUUAUGGUCAGUUACUACCCAAGAGGACUCUGGCCGGAUUGCCGUUGCAAAAACGAAAAAAGGGGGGGAUGACCUCAAAACCUCUUGCCCUUUAUGAAUUGGGGUAACCCGGUAUACAAAGGGUGUAACAAAGAGAAGAAAAACCCCAGGUGGGGGAAAAUUAAAAAACACUUCCCAGUUCGGACUGCAGGCUGCAACUCGCCUGCACGAAGUCGGAAUUGCUAGUAAUCGCAGAUCAGCAUGCUGCGGUGAAUACGUUCCCGGGCCUUGUACACACCGCCCGUC
RNAcentral lists this ribosomal RNA (1365 nucleotides) under uncultured bacterium. RNAcentral's name for it is "bacterial SSU rRNA". It matches the Rfam family "Bacterial small subunit ribosomal RNA". The record is from RNAcentral.